UACGUAGGGUGCAAGCGUUAAUCGGAAUUACUGGGCGUAAAGCGUGCGCAGGCGGUUUUGUAAGACUGUCGUGAAAUCCCCGGGCUUAACCUGGGAAUGGCGAUGGUGACUGCAAGGCUAGAGUUUGGCAGAGGGGGGUAGAGUUCCACGUGUAGCAGUGAAAUGCGUAGAGAUGUGGAGGAACACCGAUGGCGAAGGCAGCCCCCUGGGUCAAGACUGACGCUCAUGCACGAAAGCGUGGGGAGCAAACAGG
This 253-nucleotide ribosomal RNA is filed under the name uncultured bacterium. Its description in RNAcentral is "partial 16S ribosomal RNA". It matches the Rfam family "Bacterial small subunit ribosomal RNA", at positions 524 to 776 of the family's 1533-position model. The record is from RNAcentral.